Molecule: ribosomal RNA, 253 nt
Filed under: uncultured bacterium
Lineage: Bacteria
Description: partial 16S ribosomal RNA
Rfam family: Bacterial small subunit ribosomal RNA
Source: RNAcentral
UACGUAGGGGGCGAGCGUUGUUCGGAUUUACUGGGCGUAAAGGGCGCGCAGGCGGCUCAUUUUGUCAGGCGUGAAAGCCCCGGGCUUAACCUGGGAACUGCCUUUGAUACUGAGGAUCUUGAGUAUGGGAGAGGUGAGUGGAACUGCGAGUGUAGAGGUGAAAUUCGUAGAUAUUCGCAAGAACACCAGUGGCGAAGGCGGCUCACUGGCCCAUUACUGACGCUGAGGCACGAAAGCGUGGGGAGCAAACAGG